UACUCGACGCGGCAUCAGUAGUCAUCACUUGCACUGAUCAUGUCUCCCUUCGUCCUUGUGCAAAGAGAAAUUGGGAAAGAAUUGCUUGGUGUCCGGAGGAGAGCCACGGUACAAGAAGAUGGACAAAAGAUGGGAUGAACCAGUCAGUCAACGGAACAUAAAACGAAGUUAUUGCCUUUGGAUGAUCCUUCUUCAUCGCACGAGACUUGGAGUC
This is a long non-coding RNA of Rhodamnia argentea, 214 nucleotides long. RefSeq lists it as uncharacterized. Lineage: Eukaryota; Viridiplantae; Streptophyta; Magnoliopsida; Myrtales; Myrtaceae. The record is from RefSeq and is a predicted model, not a curated record. The transcript is spliced from 3 exons.